AUCUCUUUGGUUAUAAAUAAACGUGCAACGACAUCGAUCCGAGAGUGAUAUUGUCAUUAAAUUAUAAAAUUGCAAUAAAUGGUAAAUAUGCAAUAAAUGAUGUUAGGUUUCGUAAUCGCGCAUCGCGUUUAUAUGAAUAGGUAGAAAAUCCUAUUCUCGCGAUUCGUCGCAUAUCGCGUGUCGCGUCAUCGCGCUGGUUUUACUGAGACUGAGAGAGAGAGAGAGAGAGAGAGAUUGCGGUGGAACGAGUUAAACAGUAUUUAGAUCAUGUGCCGACUGAAAAUACAAUGGGCACUAAUCAACCUUACGCGUGGCCUAGUCAAAGUGUUGUGGAAUUAAAAAAGUUGUUUUGAUGUACAGGAACCAUUUAGUGCCAUCGUUGAGAGAUAACAUUCGUUACUCGACCAGCGGAAAAAAUAGACGUCGUUGGUCGCACCGGUGCUGGAAAAAGUUCGUUACUAGCUUCGUUGUUUAGACUGACAGAGAUCAGUUCUGGGAGUAUAUUAAUCGACAACGUGAAUAUUCAAACGUUACAACUGAACACAUUAAGAUCCCGUUUAGCAAUUAUACCUCAGAAUCCGUUUCUUUCCUCGGGUACUAAUCGAGAGAAUGUGGAUCCGUUGGAUCAGUAUACCUAUAUGCACAUAUAUACAAAACCUUCGAGAAAUGUAAAGUGCAUUCUUUAGUUCAUCGAAUGGAUGGUUUGGAUGCAGUCUUGGAUGAAGGUGGUAGUAAUCUCAGCACUGGGCAGAGACAAUUGUUCUGCUUAGUCAGAGCUGUGCUACACAAUGCGAAGGUACUUCUUAUCUGUAAUAUUCAAGAAAGCAAUUGUUCCUGUA
Molecule: non-coding RNA, 839 nt
Organism: Nylanderia fulva
Lineage: Eukaryota; Metazoa; Arthropoda; Insecta; Hymenoptera; Formicidae
Source: RefSeq, a predicted model, not a curated record